UCCGGUUCUUCACCAGCAGUCUCCUUAGAGUUCCCGCCUUUACGCGUUGGUAACUAAGGAUAAGGGUUGCGCUCGUUACGGGACUUAACCCAACAUCUCACAACACGAGCUGACGACAGCCAUGCAGCACCUGUCUCCUGGUUCCUUUCGGCACUCCGGCAUCUCUGCCAGAUUCCAAGGAUGUCAAGGGUAGGUAAGGUUUUUCGGGUUGCAUCGAAUUAAACCACAUGCUCCACCGCUUGUGCGGGCCCCCGUCAAUUCCUUUGAGUUUUAAUCUUGCGACCGUACUCCCCAGGCGGAAGACUUAUCGCGUUAGCUUCGAUACUAACAGGUCUAAGCCUGCCAACAUCUAGUCUUCAUCGUUUACAGCGUGGACUAC
RNAcentral lists this unclassified non-coding RNA (379 nucleotides) under uncultured Gammaproteobacteria bacterium. RNAcentral's name for it is "contains 16S-23S intergenic spacer region". The record is from RNAcentral. Lineage: Bacteria; Pseudomonadati; Pseudomonadota; Gammaproteobacteria.